This 2350-nucleotide ribosomal RNA is filed under the name Escherichia coli. RNAcentral's name for it is "partial 23S ribosomal RNA". It matches the Rfam family "Bacterial large subunit ribosomal RNA", at positions 594 to 2925 of the family's 2925-position model. Lineage: Bacteria; Pseudomonadati; Pseudomonadota; Gammaproteobacteria; Enterobacterales; Enterobacteriaceae. The record is from RNAcentral.
UGACUGCGUACCUUUUGUAUAAUGGGUCAGCGACUUAUAUUCUGUAGCAAGGUUAACCGAAUAGGGGAGCCGAAGGGAAACCGAGUCUUAACUGGGCGUUAAGUUGCAGGGUAUAGACCCGAAACCCGGUGAUCUAGCCAUGGGCAGGUUGAAGGUUGGGUAACACUAACUGGAGGACCGAACCGACUAAUGUUGAAAAAUUAGCGGAUGACUUGUGGCUGGGGGUGAAAGGCCAAUCAAACCGGGAGAUAGCUGGUUCUCCCCGAAAGCUAUUUAGGUAGCGCCUCGUGAAUUCAUCUCCGGGGGUAGAGCACUGUUUCGGCAAGGGGGUCAUCCCGACUUACCAACCCGAUGCAAACUGCGAAUACCGGAGAAUGUUAUCACGGGAGACACACGGCGGGUGCUAACGUCCGUCGUGAAGAGGGAAACAACCCAGACCGCCAGCUAAGGUCCCAAAGUCAUGGUUAAGUGGGAAACGAUGUGGGAAGGCCCAGACAGCCAGGAUGUUGGCUUAGAAGCAGCCAUCAUUUAAAGAAAGCGUAAUAGCUCACUGGUCGAGUCGGCCUGCGCGGAAGAUGUAACGGGGCUAAACCAUGCACCGAAGCUGCGGCAGCGACACUGUGUGUUGUUGGGUAGGGGAGCGUUCUGUAAGCCUGUGAAGGUGUGCUGUGAGGCAUGCUGGAGGUAUCAGAAGUGCGAAUGCUGACAUAAGUAACGAUAAAGCGGGUGAAAAGCCCGCUCGCCGGAAGACCAAGGGUUCCUGUCCAACGUUAAUCGGGGCAGGGUGAGUCGACCCCUAAGGCGAGGCCGAAAGGCGUAGUCGAUGGGAAACAGGUUAAUAUUCCUGUACUUGGUGUUACUGCGAAGGGGGGACGGAGAAGGCUAUGUUGGCCGGGCGACGGUUGUCCCGGUUUAAGCGUGUAGGCUGGUUUUCCAGGCAAAUCCGGAAAAUCAAGGCUGAGGCGUGAUGACGAGGCACUACGGUGCUGAAGCAACAAAUGCCCUGCUUCCAGGAAAAGCCUCUAAGCAUCAGGUAACAUCAAAUCGUACCCCAAACCGACACAGGUGGUCAGGUAGAGAAUACCAAGGCGCUUGAGAGAACUCGGGUGAAGGAACUAGGCAAAAUGGUGCCGUAACUUCGGGAGAAGGCACGCUGAUAUGUAGGUGAAGUCCCUCGCGGAUGGAGCUGAAAUCAGUCGAAGAUACCAGCUGGCUGCAACUGUUUAUUAAAAACACAGCACUGUGCAAACACGAAAGUGGACGUAUACGGUGUGACGCCUGCCCGGUGCCGGAAGGUUAAUUGAUGGGGUCAGCGCAAGCGAAGCUCUUGAUCGAAGCCCCGGUAAACGGCGGCCGUAACUAUAACGGUCCUAAGGUAGCGAAAUUCCUUGUCGGGUAAGUUCCGACCUGCACGAAUGGCGUAAUGAUGGCCAGGCUGUCUCCACCCGAGACUCAGUGAAAUUGAACUCGCUGUGAAGAUGCAGUGUACCCGCGGCAAGACGGAAAGACCCCGUGAACCUUUACUAUAGCUUGACACUGAACAUUGAGCCUUGAUGUGUAGGAUAGGUGGGAGGCUUAGAAGUGUGGACGCCAGUCUGCAUGGAGCCGACCUUGAAAUACCACCCUUUAAUGUUUGAUGUUCUAACGUUGACCCGUAAUCCGGGUUGCGGACAGUGUCUGGUGGGUAGUUUGACUGGGGCGGUCUCCUCCUAAAGAGUAACGGAGGAGCACGAAGGUUGGCUAAUCCUGGUCGGACAUCAGGAGGUUAGUGCAAUGGCAUAAGCCAGCUUGACUGCGAGCGUGACGGCGCGAGCAGGUGCGAAAGCAGGUCAUAGUGAUCCGGUGGUUCUGAAUGGAAGGGCCAUCGCUCAACGGAUAAAAGGUACUCCGGGGAUAACAGGCUGAUACCGCCCAAGAGUUCAUAUCGACGGCGGUGUUUGGCACCUCGAUGUCGGCUCAUCACAUCCUGGGGCUGAAGUAGGUCCCAAGGGUAUGGCUGUUCGCCAUUUAAAGUGGUACGCGAGCUGGGUUUAGAACGUCGUGAGACAGUUCGGUCCCUAUCUGCCGUGGGCGCUGGAGAACUGAGGGGGGCUGCUCCUAGUACGAGAGGACCGGAGUGGACGCAUCACUGGUGUUCGGGUUGUCAUGCCAAUGGCACUGCCCGGUAGCUAAAUGCGGAAGAGAUAAGUGCUGAAAGCAUCUAAGCACGAAACUUGCCCCGAGAUGAGUUCUCCCUGACCCUUUAAGGGUCCUGAAGGAACGUUGAAGACGACGACGUUGAUAGGCCGGGUGUGUAAGCGCAGCGAUGCGUUGAGCUAACCGGUACUAAUGAACCGUGAGGCUUAACCUU